UCAAACCAACAUUUAAUGCCACCAUUUAUUAGAAUGACAAAAUGGGUUUUUAUUUUUGGUGUGAUUAAGCAAAAACAGAGUAUUUUCCUGCUAAAUUGAUUCACUUUCCCGGAAAAAGGAAAUCAUGAGCAGGAAUCGUAAAGAAUCGAGCAACCCUUUUUCUCUCUAGCUGUCUAUUUUUACUAGUGUGUCUGAACUAAACUGGAAAGAUUGAAACUUUUUCCUCGGAGAAAGUGGAAAUGAUCAAAGUUCGUUGUAUCAUCAAAUGGGGAGAGAAAGACCUCACAGCUUUGGAGAAAUCGGAUCUAUGAAGCGGUGCCCUCUAGAGAUUAUUUUU
Long non-coding RNA from Brassica napus (rape), 337 nucleotides. RefSeq lists it as uncharacterized. NCBI's taxonomy places the organism in Eukaryota, Viridiplantae, Streptophyta, Magnoliopsida, Brassicales, Brassicaceae. The record is from RefSeq and is a predicted model, not a curated record. The transcript is spliced from 2 exons.